This is a long non-coding RNA of Coregonus clupeaformis (lake whitefish), 1241 nucleotides long. RefSeq lists it as uncharacterized. The record is from RefSeq and is a predicted model, not a curated record. The transcript has 4 exons. NCBI's taxonomy places the organism in Eukaryota, Metazoa, Chordata, Actinopteri, Salmoniformes, Salmonidae.
CUCCUUAAAGGAAUUAUCCACCCCCAGAAAUAGAAAUCAUGAAAGUCAUAUCAAUUUGGUGAAAGCCUAUGUUCUAUCAGUGGGUAAAAUAAAACAAUUCCACAUGAUUUAACUUCUAAAUUGUCCAUCUGUAAAAAUCUGGAAAUCGUGUAGGAACACGUCAUAGUUACAUAAUUCUCGUCACUGGAGAUAGGGGUUAACACACUAUCACAUUUCAUAACGCUUUUAACAAUUACCUGCACUCCAUAUCACCAAAUUAGCCAAUAGAUGGUAUGGGCAUACUAGUCUAGAACACAUCCAUCUGUUUAUAUAGUCAUGACAAUGCAUAUAUUUCACAUAGAUGUGCUCAAUCUAAACAGUGUACCAAAUUAUUCAACUCCGUUUCUCCUUCAAGCACUGUAUGCUGUCUGUGGGAAACAGAGAUAUUACAGAAAGGAGGUGAUAGGAAUCCUGUUGGGCAAUGAAUGGAGAAAGUUACCACCCAACUGACUGUCAACCCAUCACAUUCAUGUUGUCAUGCUGCGUCACGCGGCUGCUAAACUAAUCGUUACGCAAUCCCUUCUCAAAGUCAGGCUAUGAGUCGAGAAACCUGCCUAUUUUCCUCGAAGGUACGUUAUGUCAUGAUUCCAAAGCUAUACGAUAUUACAGAGAACAAGUUAAUUAUCUCACAUCUUGGAAAAACUUGUACACGAAAUUCAUGCUAAAGUUCGGUUUUUGAGCUAGCACCCAAUUGAUUCCCAUUCACUCCUUGAAGGAGAGCUCUCCUUGUCCCAGAAUCGGCCAGAAUGCACCGCGCGGCCCAUUGACGACGCAUGGGCAAUGUACACAAUGGGUGUUAAUACGAUUCUAAUGGAGUUUCCCCAUCUCCUCAAAAGUAUCUAUGUGGGAAGGAAACAUACUCUGCUCUCGCUCUGGGCAGAGACGAACUGCAAGUUGAACUCGAUAUAGAAGACUGAGGGCCAUCCAACGAACUGAACCAGGACUCCUGCUAAAGGCAUGGCAAUCACAGCACCUGCAUAGGAACCUGGAAACAAGGAAAAGGGAAAUAUGACCAUGCCACUGUUGUAGUUCUGUUCUGUCUGAAUGAGGUGGUGGCCAGUCGACUUCUCUCCAGGGGAGGAGCCCAUUUGGCCCACAUCCCAUGGCAUGCAGGGAGUGAGAUCAUUAGCAGUGGGAAGGCCUAACCUGUUGGCGGCCAGCUUGUUGGAGAUGAAGCCUCCAGGGAUCUGUGUGACGAUGUA